GUGUGUAUGUAUGUAUGUACAGAGCUCCCUAACUUACAUAGGCCUCUGUUAAGGGGGUGAUGGCUAGUCAUGGUGUCUGGAUGCUG
This is a small nucleolar RNA of Rattus norvegicus (Norway rat), 86 nucleotides long. Ensembl annotates it as small nucleolar RNA SNORD86. The record is from Ensembl. Lineage: Eukaryota; Metazoa; Chordata; Mammalia; Rodentia; Muridae.